RNAcentral lists this ribosomal RNA (238 nucleotides) under uncultured bacterium. Its description in RNAcentral is "partial 16S ribosomal RNA". It matches the Rfam family "Bacterial small subunit ribosomal RNA", at positions 96 to 334 of the family's 1533-position model. The record is from RNAcentral.
CGGCGGACGGGUGAGUAACGCGUGGGUAACCUGCCUCAUACAGGGGGAUAACAGUUGGAAACGACUGCUAAUACCGCAUAAGCGCACAGUACCGCAUGGUACCGUGUGAAAAACUCCGGUGGUAUGAGAUGGACCCGCGUCUGAUUAGCUAGUUGGUGGGGUAACGGCCUACCAAGGCGACGAUCAGUAGCCGACCUGAGAGGGUGACCGGCCACAUUGGGACUGAGACACGGCCCAA